AGUGAACGCUGGCGGUAGGCCUAACACAUGCAAGUCGAACGGCAGCACAGUAAGAGCUUGCUCUUACGGGUGGCGAGUGGCGGACGGGUGAGGAAUACAUCGGAAUCUACUUUUUCGUGGGGGAUAACGUAGGGAAACUUACGCUAAUACCGCAUACGACCUACGGGUGAAAGCAGGGGAUCUUCGGACCUUGCGCGAUUGAAUGAGCCGAUGUCGGAUUAGCUAGUUGGCGGGGUAAAGGCCCACCAAGGCGACGAUCCGUAGCUGGUCUGAGAGGAGGAUCAGCCACACUGGAACUGAGACACGGUCCAGACUCCUACGGGAGGCAGCAGUGGGGAAUAUUGGACAAUGGGCGCAAGCCUGAUCCAGCCAUACCGCGUGGGUGAAGAAGGCCUUCGGGUUGUAAAGCCCUUUUGUUGGGAAAGAAAAGCAGCAGGUUAAUACCCCGCUGUUCUGACGGGACCCAAAGAAUAAGCACCGGCUAACUUCGU
RNAcentral lists this ribosomal RNA (491 nucleotides) under uncultured bacterium. Its description in RNAcentral is "partial 16S ribosomal RNA". It matches the Rfam family "Bacterial small subunit ribosomal RNA", at positions 29 to 506 of the family's 1533-position model. The record is from RNAcentral.